RNAcentral lists this ribosomal RNA (497 nucleotides) under uncultured bacterium. Its description in RNAcentral is "partial 16S ribosomal RNA". It matches the Rfam family "Bacterial small subunit ribosomal RNA", at positions 29 to 523 of the family's 1533-position model. The record is from RNAcentral.
UUGAACGCUGGCGGCAGGCCUAACACAUGCAAGUCGAGCGGCAGCGCGGGGCAACCUGGCGGCGAGCGGCGGACGGGUGAGUAACGCGUAGGAAUCUACCCAGUAGCGGGGGAUAGCCCGGGGAAACUCGGAUUAAUACCGCAUACGCCCUAAGGGGGACAGCAGGGGAUCUUCGGACCUUGCACUAUUGGCAGAGCCGGCGUUGGAUUAGCUAGUUGGUAGGGUAAAGGCCUACCAAGGCAACGAUCCAUAACUGGUCUGAGAGGAUGAUCAGUCACACCGGAACUGAGACACGGUCCGGACUCCUACGGGAGGCAGCAGUGGGGAAUAUUGGACAAUGGGGGCAACCCUGAUCCAGCCAUGCCGCGUGUGUGAAGAAGGCCUUCGGGUUGUAAAGCACUUUAAGUGGGGAGAAAGGUUCGGCAGUUAAUACCUGCCGGAAGUGAUGUUACCCACAGAAUAAGCACCGGCUAACUCUGUGCCAGCAGCCGCGGUAA